AGAAAAAGGGUACGAGGGAGCAAUGGGAGAAAAUUGAGGAGUGCCUAAAGGAGGAGAAACUUGAGAUGUUGAGGGGAGAGAGCACACAAUAAUAGCCCUUUCACCUGCAUUGCCCUCUGGCAUGUCUCGAUCCGACUCAUCCCCGAAAGAGUAAUUAUCAAUGUCGUCAUAAUCUAGUUUCAGUUGGGUGGCUCUCUAUGCUUGCUUGGCCUCGUUUAUCUCUUCGUCCAAGUCCAGAUCGCCAUAAUGAAUAGCCCUUAGCAUUUUCAACUUGGAUUCUAGAAAUAUGACAUACUCAUAAUGGAUCUCAAAUUCCCUCGAAUCGGAGGCUAUGUUGUCUCUUUCACGCUUGAGCCUCUCCUCAUCAACUCUUGAAGCUCCAAGAUGUGCCUCAAGAGCCCUUUCUCUCUCCUCCAUAUUGUAAAGGUUGGCCGCUAGAAUGACUCACUACUUGGUAACCCUAUCUAAGAGGGACAACCUUUCGUUAAGAACUACUUCAAUUUGAAAAAUCCUCUUAGUAGACUGGGCUAGCUCAAACCUCACCCGCUCCAACUCCUCCAUCACUGCCUUGGCCCGGAAUCACGAGCUACCUUCAUAGAAUGUUCUCUCCAAACCUCAAUACAUCCAGCCUUGAUGAGGCCCUUUAGCUCCCCAAUCUCCCUCUCAAAGCGACGGGUCCUUUUCGCAAGCUGGAAAGACAUCAAAUUGUCCCGUACAGACAAAGGGAAGGUUUUAACAUCAACAUCAAAGCAAAAUACAACAUAGAAUCCAACAUAAAAACAUACUUGUAGAGUAUAAUUAAGCAUGUUGAUCACAAGAUGCGAGGUGGGCCUCUUCCCCAACCUCUAUAAGUCAACCCCCUCAAGAACCUCCUACAUAUUGUGUUUCUUCUGGGUAUUCAGGGAGGCACUAUCUUGGGAGGAGAUAGGGCUACUAGGAUUGUAUUCAGAGUAGGAUCGGAUGGAGGAAUUUAUAGAAUGACCUAUGCUUCCGCUGCAAGGGAACCAGUCUUCACCAACUUCUCAAAAUACCCUACCAGGAACGCCUCCUCCUAAGCAUCUAUGAAUACGAGACCAGACUACCAAGGAAGAGAGGGCCACUUCCCAAAGCUAGACCGAGUCCUUCUUCUAGGAAAGCCGGUAGGAGCAUUGCCGGAGCAUCGGCUUGAAAGUUUUUCUUGUUGUGCCUAGCUGUUGCAAGUUCCUGAAUCCUUUCUUGAGUAGCGGUCGAGAAAAGAUCAACCAAGGCCCAGGAUAGAGGUUUCUUCAACUGAGUGCCUGCAAAAAAGAAAGAUGAGUAUGACCAUAAGAAAUAAACAAAAACUUACAAAAAUACCAAAUAAACUAUGACUCCUGGCCCUUCACUCGGAAACUUUGGAGAUGUUCCUCAAAAAUCUCUCCAACAAUGGAGAACAUGAGAAGAUCAUUGCAACUCACUCCUCAAUGUGCGUGCCUCUCCAAGCGUGCAAAGAACGACUGUGAUUAGGAUAUCGGGGUGAAAGGCAAAAGAUAAUUUUAAGUGAAAAAUAGCACACCUACGAUUGUUAUUCGAACUCUCAGAGAAUGAUCUACCCACCAUUUAGGUAAGCGCCCAGAUAGGAAUAGAAAUUAAGGGAUCAUGCCACCCUCUAUCAUGAUUGCCCUCGGUGUCCACAAUCUUUCAGGUGCUCCAAUUAGCAAGAAUGAUGAUGCUACCCCAGUACAACUUACGAAGAAUAUAGAUGAAGAAUAUGUUGAAGAGAAAUAUUUACUAUGGCCAAAUUUGACACCUACGAAUGACCGUACUAACCUGAGCCAAACUAAUAUUAAAGUGCCAACAUAGAUCCCGGAUUAUAGAAUCUAUCAGGGGGUGGAUUUCAAAGUAAAAGGGUAAGUUUAGAAGAAAAUAUAACCCUCUAUAACUUAAAAUCUGCUUAGAGUCCAAGGGGACCCGAACGUCCACGUGCUCCCCGCCAUACUCUUCCUUUAACAGAUGAAGAUGAUGUGGUAACACUAGAGAGGGAAAAACAUCCACAGGGUAUGCAGUGCUAUUCCACACACCGUCGUCUGUCCAUAUAUCACAUGUAUUUGCAAAACCUCUUAAACAAUAGGCUCUAUCUCGGUCUUCGGCCUUUUACUAGAAUAAUCCUUUACCGUUUUCUUUCCUCUUGCCCUGAGCAGACUCAGACGCUUCACUAGAGAGUUAUGUCGCUAAAGAAGAUAGAGCCUCUAGGGAGGUGGCAGUAGCAGGAUGAAUAUCUUUUUUGUCCAUAGUGCUACGCAGGGAAACUAACACAAAGAAGGAAAAAGUGAGAACGCAAUUGAAUCA
This 2307-nucleotide long non-coding RNA is filed under the name Nicotiana tabacum (common tobacco). RNAcentral's name for it is "long non-coding RNA (NTAB_LNC011950)". The record is from RNAcentral. Lineage: Eukaryota; Viridiplantae; Streptophyta; Magnoliopsida; Solanales; Solanaceae.